GACGUAGCGUCGGGAUACGGUGCCACAUCUGUGGCUUGAAAGGGAAUCGGGUGAAAGACCCGUACUGCCCCCGCAACUGUAAGCGGUGAGUGCAAAGGCGAAACCACUGGCCAGAUGGCUGGGAAGGGCCCGCGCGCAUCGACCCGCAAGUCAGGAGACCUGCCGUAAAACCGGGGCCUUG
RNAcentral lists this non-coding RNA (181 nucleotides) under Roseovarius nanhaiticus. The record is from RNAcentral. Lineage: Bacteria; Pseudomonadati; Pseudomonadota; Alphaproteobacteria; Rhodobacterales; Roseobacteraceae.